This 396-nucleotide ribosomal RNA is filed under the name uncultured bacterium. RNAcentral describes it as "bacterial SSU rRNA". It matches the Rfam family "Bacterial small subunit ribosomal RNA", at positions 28 to 455 of the family's 1533-position model. The record is from RNAcentral.
GAUGAACGCUGGCGGUCUGCUUAACACAUGCAAGUCGAACGAACUCUUCGGGGUGAGCGGCGGACGGGUUAGUAACGCGUGGGAAUAUGCCCAAAGGUAGGGAAUAGCCUCUGGAAACGGAGAGUAAUACCCUAUGUGCCCUUCGGGGAAAGAUUUAUCGCCUUUGGAUUAGCCCGCGUUAGAUUAGGUAGUUGGUGGGGUAAUGGCCUACCAAGCCUACGAUCUAUAGCUGGUUUUAGAGGAUGAUCAGCAACACUGGGACUGAGACACGGCCCAGACUCCUACGGAGGCAGCAGUGGGGAAUCUUGGACAAUGGGGCAACCCUGAUCCAGCCAUGCCGCGUGAGUGAUGAAGGCCCUAGGGUCGUAAAGUUCUUUCGCCUGUGAAGAUAAUGAC